This 1305-nucleotide long non-coding RNA is filed under the name Populus trichocarpa (black cottonwood). Its description in RNAcentral is "long non-coding RNA (PTRI_LNC002149)". Lineage: Eukaryota; Viridiplantae; Streptophyta; Magnoliopsida; Malpighiales; Salicaceae. The record is from RNAcentral.
AAUGUUACUGUAGCAUUAGAGGAUCCACGCAAAACCAACGUUCUUAUCUUUCUAUAUAAAAACAAAUUAAUAAGUUAUGUAUUCAAGUUCAUCACAUGAAGUUAACGUAUGCAAACUUUGGCAACCCAGGAGGACGUCUUCCUAACUGCUAUAGCUAAGAAACUUCCUGCCUGGCUCCACGGGAGUAUAUCGCUAUAGUUGCGGCCAAGGAUAUGAAAGAAGGAAGAGGCUAGUUGCCGCAGGUCAGGUAACUAUGUCGAUGUCAUUGUACGUGUAUGAGGAUGUAAACUAUAUAUAUAUAUAUAUAUAAACAAGACGAGUGUAAAAUAAGUGAUGAAGAAGUACUGAUGUUUUUCUUCAUCUGAGAAGUUCCAAAUUUUCAUGGUUAUUAUGUAGGUAAAAUUAUUUUAAUAUAUUUUUAAAUAAAAAAAUACUUAAAAAAACAACCACUAUCCAAUUUCUAACUAUCACUAUUAAUGGAUUAACAUUUCUUUUCUUUUAUUUAUGUUUAGUAUUUUGUAUUAUUCUGAUGACAUUGAGAUGUUAACCUAAACAGGGGUAGGUUAACAAGAUAUAAAAAAGGCAAAAUGUUGUUUGAAAUAUUUCUUUUAAAAUCUUGGCUCAUUUCCCUUUUUUUUUUCUAAAAAUAAUAUUAGGUCCCAUCAUUCUAUGAUUAUCUAUUAUUUUUCAACUUUAUUAAAUUUUAUUUUUGUUUUAAAAUUUAUUGUAUCUCAUCAUUAAACUUAAUUUUUCCACACCAAGCAAAUAUCCUUAACAUUUCAUUUUUUUUCCUGCAUUUUAAUGCAUUAGCAGUUAUUAAACCUUCAAAUUUUAACUUCAAAUCCAACACAACGUAAUGGUGAAGAUUACAGACUUGGUAAAAUCAUUUAAAAGCUUGUGUUUGUGUGUGAUCUUUUCCUUUUUCCCUUUGGCCUUCGGAUCUCCUAACAGUGAGAAUCUUAUAGAGUCCGCGGCGAAAGAAACUCCCCUGGAUGCAUCUAAGACGCUGCAUUUCAACUUUAAGCCAAACCUUUCAAGUUAAGCAUCGUGGUAUGCGGUGGUAAUAACAUCCUUGUAAGUACUGUACUUUUAAAAAAGAAACCACGGGAGAGGAUGCCGGGAUUUGAAUUGAUAGGUGGUGGCGUGCCAGGAUUUGCCCAUGCUUUUGGCGCCGUUGAAUUCAAUAUCGUUAUUCUUUUCCCGUUGCCAAAGGUCAGGUUGAUUUCCGAUGAGACGUGCCCGACAGGCCAUAAUCUUGCGAUUGCUGGGUAGAUCCUUUCUGGAUGUUAUUGGGUAAAAUUUGAA